Aegilops tauschii subsp. strangulata is the source of this 774-nucleotide non-coding RNA. NCBI's taxonomy places the organism in Eukaryota, Viridiplantae, Streptophyta, Magnoliopsida, Poales, Poaceae. The record is from RefSeq and is a predicted model, not a curated record.
GACCUCUUCUUCAACAUCGUCCAGUGGUACAGCCCUUCUUGGAAAGAAUUCAGAAUAAGAUACGGACUGUGUACGAGGCUAUCACGUGCACCCGGAGAACUGAUGUUGUUCAGCAUGAGCAGGAGCAGCCGUGUCACUCCAUGCAACGACAUCAACCACGUCCACGCCUAGCACAACAGUCGACAACCAGGCCACCCCGUCCUGACCAACCUGGCAGUUCUACGUGGCACCCGCAGCACUAUGGUCCCACGUUGAGCUUCGUGUUUUCUCCACAGCCACAGCAACACGGUCCCUCGUCGAGCUUCGUGUUUUCUCCACAGCCACAGCAGCACGGUCCCUCGUCCAGUUUCGUGUUUCAGCCAGAGCAGACGUCACACCCAGCAGGGGCCUAUGGAUAUCAGCCGUCUAUGUCGGCAUCACAUGAUACGUGGGGGAGUGAUCAACAUCCCGAGGACAACAUACAGGCUCAGAUGUCGCAGCACACCCAGUGGAUGAACAUGUUUUCGACUCCUCCACCAGGCCCCACACAGGAUACACAGCAUGACCAGGGUGAGUCUGAGAUUCCUCCUCGUCACGUUAGGGCACCCGACAGGUUGGGAUGGUCCCCGAUUCCAGAUCCGCCUCCCCGCCAGGCCAGACGUCGUCACUGACGCUUCUAUGUAUCUGUAUCAGUACAGACAUUACCAUCUAUUUCUGUGUAAGACUUAUGUCUAUUCUAUGUUUGAGACAAAUGACUAUGUACUUAUGUACGAGACAUAUGCCUACUCUAUUUUA